RNAcentral lists this ribosomal RNA (84 nucleotides) under Phyllactinia mali. RNAcentral's name for it is "partial 28S ribosomal RNA". It matches the Rfam family "Eukaryotic large subunit ribosomal RNA", at positions 1 to 82 of the family's 3401-position model. Lineage: Eukaryota; Fungi; Ascomycota; Leotiomycetes; Helotiales; Erysiphaceae. The record is from RNAcentral.
UUGACCUCGAAUCAGGUAGGGAUACCCGCUGAACUUAAGCAUAUCAAUAAGCGGAGGAAAAGAAACCAUCGGGAUUUCCCGCCA